This 285-nucleotide ribosomal RNA is filed under the name uncultured bacterium. RNAcentral's name for it is "partial 16S ribosomal RNA". It matches the Rfam family "Bacterial small subunit ribosomal RNA", at positions 355 to 657 of the family's 1533-position model. The record is from RNAcentral.
UGGGGAAUAUUGCACAAUGGGCGAAAGCCUGAUGCAGCAACGCCGCGUGAGUGAUGAAGGUCUUCGGAUUGUAAAGCUCUGUCUUUUGGGACGAUAAUGACGGUACCAAAGGAGGAAGCCACGGCUAACUACGUGCCAGCAGCCGCGGUAAUACGUAGGUGGCGAGCGUUGUCCGGAUUUACUGGGCGUAAAGGGUGCGUAGGCGGAUGUUUAAGUGAGAUGUGAAAUACCCGGGCUUAACUUGGGUGCUGCAUUUCAAACUGGAUAUCUAGAGUGGCAGGAGAG